GGAGACAUGGCUCAGUGGUUAAGAGCGUUGACUGUUCAUCCAGAGGUCCUGAGUUCAAAUCCCAGUAACCCCA
Rattus norvegicus (Norway rat) is the source of this 73-nucleotide non-coding RNA. The record is from Rfam. Lineage: Eukaryota; Metazoa; Chordata; Mammalia; Rodentia; Muridae.